UACAACAACAACAACAAACCCAGUGUAUUCCCACUUUGUGGGGUCUGGGGGGGGUAAGAUGUACGCAGUCCAUACCUCUACCUCUGAUGAAGUAGAAAGGCUGUUUCCGAAAGACCCCCGGCUCAAGUUACGAGAUAUCAAACAAACACAUAGUACAGCACAGAAGCAGAUGACAUAACAUAGAUACUGCAGCCAUAAGGAAUAUAAAACAGAGUAAAGCAGGAAAGCAGGAAUAUAAAGCAGAGGAAAGCACACAGAUUCGUAACAAACAUAGAACACGGAACACGGAACAGAACAUUGAAUACGGAAUCAUACCAGGAAUACCCCCCCACCAAUUACCUCCCUACAUUAGCGACCCGAACAGGCCCUAAUCCUCUGCCGUAAUUCGCGUCUUCCAGACCUUCCUAUCUAGGGUCAUGUCCUCGGUAAGCUGUAACUGUUCCAUGCCCCGCCUAAUCACCUCACCCCAGUACUUCUUCGGUCUACCCCUACCCCGUCUAAAACCAUCCAACGCUAGCCUCUCACACCUACGGACCGGGGCAUCCAUGCCCCUCCUCUUCACGUGUCCGAACCAUCUCAAUCGUGCUUCCCGCAUCUUACAC
Molecule: long non-coding RNA, 602 nt
Filed under: Capsicum annuum
Lineage: Eukaryota; Viridiplantae; Streptophyta; Magnoliopsida; Solanales; Solanaceae
Description: long non-coding RNA (CANN_LNC002702)
Source: RNAcentral